Molecule: long non-coding RNA, 203 nt
Filed under: Lathyrus oleraceus (garden pea)
Lineage: Eukaryota; Viridiplantae; Streptophyta; Magnoliopsida; Fabales; Fabaceae
Description: Pisum sativum (pea) long non-coding RNA (PSAT_LNC000291)
Source: RNAcentral
UUUUGUAGGAAUUGUUGAGCCAUUUCCUAUUUGAUUGAGAUUUUUGCUUGCUGUUUAGACAUUUUAGGGUUUUGCUUGAGUGAUUGACUUCCAUGUCUUGUGAAAUGCUCAUACCAUAUCAUAUGAAUGUGAAAUUUGAUGGAGUGAUUCAUAACAUGUUCAUUGUUACUUUGGCUUUGGUCCCAUUCAUUUCUUAGUUGUUC